UACGGAGGGUGCAAGCGUUAUCCGGAUUCACUGGGUUUAAAGGGUGCGUAGGCGGGCAGGUAAGUCAGUGGUGAAAUCCUAGAGCUUAACUCUAGAACUGCCAUUGAUACUAUCUGUCUUGAAUAUUGUGGAGGUAAGCGGAAUAUGUCAUGUAGCGGUGAAAUGCUUAGAUAUGACAUAGAACACCUAGUGCGAAGGCAGCUUACUACGCAUAUAUUGACGCUGAGGCACGAAAGCGUGGGGAUCAAACAGG
This 253-nucleotide ribosomal RNA is filed under the name uncultured bacterium. RNAcentral's name for it is "partial 16S ribosomal RNA". It matches the Rfam family "Bacterial small subunit ribosomal RNA", at positions 524 to 776 of the family's 1533-position model. The record is from RNAcentral.